Molecule: long non-coding RNA, 1318 nt
Organism: Strigops habroptila (Kakapo)
Lineage: Eukaryota; Metazoa; Chordata; Aves; Psittaciformes; Psittacidae
Exons: 2
Source: RefSeq, a predicted model, not a curated record
CUACUCUGGCAAGACUUGUGCAUUUGAACAGGCAGUGCUGUCCGGUGGCCUGUUCCCAAAUGUAGGAACUUUAUCAAGGUCUAAUCACUUGGACCCAAAUCUGGAAGGUAUCUUCUUGCUUGAUUCCUGGAGAAAACAAAAGUUUGUGGAUACUGUGUGCUUGUGCACUUUCAGUCUUUGUCUCUUUCUCCUGACAGUGAAAAUGCCUGUUUGAUGCUCAAGGUUGAGUAUUAAGGAUGCACUGCUAUAACAUAGAGGGAACAUUACUUACUGAGUUGGGAUCUGGCUGCCUUCCUUUGUCACUUCUGCAUACAGUAACUCCUCAAAAAUGCUCUUUCAAGUUCUGCUAGGACCCAGAGCAACCCAGGAGAGGGGGAGCAUGGUGCUUUGCUGCAGCUUUGCCUGGUGAUUGCAGCCGAGGCGAGUAACCAGCUAAAAUAGCUCAGGACCCCCUGAAUUUCUUCCUGUGACAGAUGGAGUUAAUGACCUGAGAGCCAUUUGCAUGGUUUAUGCACAAAGCUGAUGGUUCUAAAAUGCCAGAGGAUAGGAUGUCGCCAGAACCUGGAGAGGAGGAUGUGCUUUCUCCAGCUGCAGAUUGAUGAGAAGGAAAACCAGAUUGUUGAAUGAGGAAGAUCCACAGAUUGGUAGUGGAGUAGGACAUAUUCCCAAGAUUGAAGAAACUUCCUGACAGUGACUUGCCUUUGCUCAAACCCGGGUGCUGUUAGCUUGAAUCCCAAAGGCAGACGUGACACAGGAUUUGCUGUGACUAAGGGAGGUGGCUUAAUUGCUUUUAGUCUGUUUCCCUUUUGUUAUUUCUUGCUCUGGUCAGUAAUACAGGGAUUUAAGAAAAUGGAGCUAAUGCACCUACACAAAUAAUAAAGAACCUGGAAUACCAGCUCCUGUCUCGGGAGCUGUUGAGGAUGAGGUCUCAUGCAGAGCCUGGUGCAGCGUGGCUGGGUGUGAAGCAGCAGGAUGGCAGAGCUGCAGCCCUGAAGGAGGGGGAAACUCCUACUACAAGAUGCACCUUUUAUCUUUUCCUUCCAGUAGAGCUGGGGUUUGUGUGCUAAAGAUCUCCCUGCACUACCAUUCCUCUGUUAACAUGGCAACACCUCGUGUGGAGGCAGAGAUUUUGAGCUCAUCUUUUCCUUCUCCCGCAACCUCCGAGAGCUUGUUUUGCUGGCUCAAGUUCUGCUUUGCUUUGUAUUUGCUUUGUAUUUGUAGGAUCAAACGUCUCCCAUUUUCCCCUUUUUGUGGUGAACAUAUUUAUGAAUUAUUGAAAUAAAACAACCUGUAUGGCCCCAAAAGGGUCUGCAAAGAA